This 248-nucleotide ribosomal RNA is filed under the name uncultured Planctomycetales bacterium. Its description in RNAcentral is "partial 16S ribosomal RNA". It matches the Rfam family "Bacterial small subunit ribosomal RNA", at positions 434 to 674 of the family's 1533-position model. The record is from RNAcentral. Lineage: Bacteria; Pseudomonadati; Planctomycetota; Planctomycetia; Planctomycetales.
GUCGGGAGUUAGGAAAUGUAGACUCGCUAAUAUCGGGUCUAUUUGACAAAGGCUCCAAAGGAAGCCACGGCUAACUCUGUGCCAGCAGCCGCGGUAAUACAGAGGUGGCAAGCGUUGUUCGGAAUUAUUGGGCGUAAAGAGCACGUAGGUGGAUUUGUAAGUCAGACGUGAAAGCCUUCUGUUCAACGGAAGAAUUGCAUCUGAAACUACAAACCUUGAGUGUAGGAGGGGAGAGUGGAACUUCUGGU